GGUAACACGUAUCCAACCUGCCGAUAACUCGGGGAUAGCCUUUCGAAAGAAAGAUUAAUACCCGAUGGUAUAAUCAGACCGCAUGGUCUUGUUAUUAAAGAAUUUCGGUUAUCGAUGGGGAUGCGUUCCAUUAGGCAGUUGGUGAGGUAACGGCUCACCAAACCUUCGAUGGAUAGGGGUUCUGAGAGGAAGGUCCCCCACAUUGGAACUGAGACACGGUCCAA
This 224-nucleotide ribosomal RNA is filed under the name uncultured bacterium. Its description in RNAcentral is "partial 16S ribosomal RNA". It matches the Rfam family "Bacterial small subunit ribosomal RNA", at positions 109 to 334 of the family's 1533-position model. The record is from RNAcentral.